GGUAUGCACUGGCUUUGCUGGUUCCUCCUUUCUGAAGAACUGUAAUGCCAUUAAUUUGGUGUUGCAGGGAAACAGGACUGUUACUUUGAAAAAAUUAGAGUGUUUAAAGCAGGCUAACGCUUGAAUACAUUAGCAUGGAAUAAUGAAAUAGGACGUUCGACCCUAUUUUGUUGGUUUCUAGGAUUGACGUAAUGAUUAAUAGGGAUAGUUGGGGGCAUUAGUAUUCAAUUGUCAGAGGUGAAAUUCUUGGAUUUAUUGAAGACUAACUACUGCGAAAGCAUUUGCCAAGGAUGUUUUCAUUAAUCAAGAACGAAAGUUAGGGGAUCGAAGACGAUCAGAUACCGUCGUAGUCUUAACCAUAAACUAUGCCGACUAGGGAUCGGAUGAUGUUAAUUUUUUAAUGACUCAUUCGGCGCCUUACG
RNAcentral lists this ribosomal RNA (422 nucleotides) under uncultured Glomeromycotina. Its description in RNAcentral is "SSU rRNA". It matches the Rfam family "Eukaryotic small subunit ribosomal RNA", at positions 672 to 1092 of the family's 1831-position model. The record is from RNAcentral. Lineage: Eukaryota; Fungi; Glomeromycota.